UUGACUUUCUGUCCCGACGGCGUGUCCGUGUUCAUGUAGUUGAGUGAGAAAGACGA
Molecule: microRNA precursor, 56 nt
Filed under: Oreochromis niloticus (Nile tilapia)
Lineage: Eukaryota; Metazoa; Chordata; Actinopteri; Cichliformes; Cichlidae
Description: microRNA oni-mir-10547a precursor (oni-mir-10547a-3)
Source: miRBase by way of RNAcentral